UUGGAGGGCAAGUCUGGUGCCAGCAGCCGCGGUAAUUCCAGCUCCAAUAGCGUAUAUUAAAGUUGUUGCAGUUAAAAAGCUCGUAGUUGAAUUUCGGGAUCAGAUUGUCGGUCGUGCCUCGGUACGCACUGGCAUUAUUGGUUCCUACCUUCUGAAGAACCGCGAUGUCAUUAAUUUGGUGUCGUGGGGAAUCAGGACUGUUACUUUGAAAAAAUUAGAGUGUUUAAAGCAAGCUUACGCUUGAAUACAUUAGCAUGGAAUAAUGAAAUAGGACGUUUGAUUCUAUUUUGUUGGUUUCUAGGAUUGACGUAAUGAUUAAUAGGGAUAGUUGGGGGCAUUAGUAUUCAAUUGUCAGAGGUGAAAUUCUUGGAUUUAUUGAAGACUAACUACUGCGAAAGCAUUUGCCAAGGAUGUUUUCAUUAAUCAAGAACGAAAGUUAGGGGAUCGAAGACGAUCAGAUACCGUCGUAGUCUUAACCAUAAACUAUGCCGACUAGGGAUCGGAUGAUGUUAAUUUUUUAAUGACUCAUUCGGCGCCUUACGGGAAAC
Molecule: ribosomal RNA, 548 nt
Filed under: uncultured Glomeromycotina
Lineage: Eukaryota; Fungi; Glomeromycota
Description: SSU rRNA
Rfam family: Eukaryotic small subunit ribosomal RNA
Source: RNAcentral